AUUCAUUAUUUAAUUUUGCUUUAGAAAGUCAGUGUAAGACAGAUGCUUCUUAAAGACAGAUGUACAUUAAUGAUGAUGAACAGUUUGUCCUACUACAUGUUUGUUCUGCUACACAUAGCUGUAUGUUUUCUGUCUUUAUUUAUCUCUUUAAACUACAGAAUAAAGGAUGUCGAAAGCAGAGUUCUGGCACAUGUGGACAGACAUUUGCUUUAAUAACAGAAAUCUGGUCAUGGACAGUAAAUAAACACAUCUCUUUGUGUGAGCUGGUGUGGCUGAGUGGUCAGAGUGGUCAGAGUUCAUGGCAUAAGACCUCAACCCAAUGCAGGAGACAUGGGUUCAAAUCCCCACUCUGCUGCAAAUGGAGAAUCCUGUUUUUUCCCCAUUUUGCAGCCAAAAAAAAAAAAAAAAAAAUUCAAAAAGCUUUCUCUUUUUUUUGGUUUCUCUUCCUUUCUCAGGUCCGCCUCUCUUAUCUCCCCCUCUCUAUGGCCUUCCUCUCUCAUCCCCACCUCAGCCUUCAUCUCUUGGCCAUCUUACCGCCCCAGUGUGUGCAUCUACAGCAAGUGAACCGGGCUGAACCAGCGCUGCUUAAAACAAGAGAACAUCAAGCAGGAGUGACACUGUUUAAAUAG
Cyprinus carpio (common carp) is the source of this 629-nucleotide long non-coding RNA. NCBI's taxonomy places the organism in Eukaryota, Metazoa, Chordata, Actinopteri, Cypriniformes, Cyprinidae. The record is from Ensembl.